This 698-nucleotide ribosomal RNA is filed under the name uncultured Methylotenera sp. RNAcentral's name for it is "bacterial SSU rRNA". It matches the Rfam family "Bacterial small subunit ribosomal RNA", at positions 823 to 1521 of the family's 1533-position model. Lineage: Bacteria; Pseudomonadati; Pseudomonadota; Betaproteobacteria; Nitrosomonadales; Methylophilaceae. The record is from RNAcentral.
UCGGGUCUUAAUUGACUUGGUAACGCAGCUAACGCGUGAAGUAGACCGCCUGGGGAGUACGGUCGCAAGAUUAAAACUCAAAGGAAUUGACGGGGACCCGCACAAGCGGUGGAUGAUGUGGAUUAAUUCGAUGCAACGCGAAAAACCUUACCUACCCUUGACAUGGAAGGAAUCCUUGAGAGAUUGAGGAGUGCCCGAAAGGGAACCUUUACACAGGUGCUGCAUGGCUGUCGUCAGCUCGUGUCGUGAGAUGUUGGGUUAAGUCCCGCAACGAGCGCAACCCUUGCCAUUAAUUGCCAUCAUUUAGUUGGGCACUUUAAUGGGACUGCCGGUGACAAACCGGAGGAAGGUGGGGAUGACGUCAAGUCCUCAUGGCCCUUAUGGCCAGGGCUUCACACGUAAUACAAUGGUCGGUACAGAGGGUUGCCAACCCGCGAGGGGGAGCCAAUCCCAGAAAGCCGAUCGUAGUCCGGAUUGCAGGCUGCAACUCGCCUGCAUGAAGUCGGAAUCGCUAGUAAUCGCGGAUCAGCAUGUCGCGGUGAAUACGUUCCCGGGCCUUGUACACACCGCCCGUCACACCAUGGGAGUGGGUUUUACCAGAAGUAGGUAGUCUAACCGCAAGGGGGACGCUUACCACGGUAGUAUCCAUGACUGGGGUGAAGUCGUAACAAGGUAGCCGUAUCGGAAGGUGCGGCUGG